UCUAAAGGGCAAAACUUAGUA
RNAcentral lists this non-coding RNA (21 nucleotides) under Arabidopsis thaliana (thale cress). The record is from RNAcentral. Lineage: Eukaryota; Viridiplantae; Streptophyta; Magnoliopsida; Brassicales; Brassicaceae.